GGCUGGUAGGAGCAUGAGCUGAGGCCCGCUCUCCACAGGCCACCCUGAGGGACCCCACCUGUGCACAAAUUCAUGCACCGGGCCUCUA
Molecule: long non-coding RNA, 88 nt
Organism: Myotis brandtii (Brandt's bat)
Lineage: Eukaryota; Metazoa; Chordata; Mammalia; Chiroptera; Vespertilionidae
Exons: 3
Source: RefSeq, a predicted model, not a curated record